UUUUGGACAAUGGGCGCAAGCCUGAUCCAGCCAUGCCGCGUGCGGGAAGAAGGCCUUCGGGUUGUAAACCGCUUUUGUCAGGGAAGAAAAGUUCUGGGCUAAUACCCCGGGACGAUGACGGUACCUGAAGAAUAAGCACCGGCUAACUACGUGCCAGCAGCCGCGGUAAUACGUAGGGUGCGAGCGUUAAUCGGAAUUACUGGGCGUAAAGCGUGCGCAGGCGGUCUUGCAAGACAGAUGUGAAAUCCCCGGGCUUAACCUGGGAACUGCAUUUGUGACUGCAAGGCUGGAGUACGGUAGAGGGGGAUGGAAUUCCGCGUGUAGCAGUGAAAUGCGUAGAUAUGCGGAGGAACACCGAUGGCGAAGGCAAUCCCCUGGACCUGUACUGACGCUCAUGCACGAAA
This 404-nucleotide ribosomal RNA is filed under the name uncultured bacterium. RNAcentral's name for it is "bacterial SSU rRNA". It matches the Rfam family "Bacterial small subunit ribosomal RNA", at positions 362 to 758 of the family's 1533-position model. The record is from RNAcentral.